AGCGAACGCUGGCGGCAGGCUUAACACAUGCAAGUCGAGCGGGCGUAGCAAUACGUCAGCGGCAGACGGGUGAGUAACGCGUGGGAACAUACCUCUUGGUUCGGAACAACACAGGGAAACUUGUGCUAAUACCGGAUAAGCCCUUACGGGGAAAGAUUUAUCGCCGAAAGAUUGGCCCGCGUCUGAUUAGCUUGUUGGUGAGGUAACGGCUCACCAAGGCGACGAUCAGAGCUGGUCUGAGAGGAUGAUCAGCCACAUUGGGACUGAGACACGGCCCAAACUCCUACGGGAGGCAGCAGUGGGGAAUAUUGGACAAUGGGCGCAAGCCUGAUCCAGCCAUGCCGCGUGAGUGAUGAAGGCCCUAGGGUUGUAAAGCUCUUUUGUGCGGGAAGAUAAUGACGGUACCGCAAGAAUAAGCCCCGGCUAACUUCGUGCCAGCAGCCGCCG
This 447-nucleotide ribosomal RNA is filed under the name uncultured bacterium. RNAcentral describes it as "bacterial SSU rRNA". It matches the Rfam family "Bacterial small subunit ribosomal RNA", at positions 29 to 520 of the family's 1533-position model. The record is from RNAcentral.